This is a long non-coding RNA of Biomphalaria glabrata, 2015 nucleotides long. RefSeq lists it as uncharacterized. Lineage: Eukaryota; Metazoa; Mollusca; Gastropoda; Planorbidae. The record is from RefSeq and is a predicted model, not a curated record. The transcript is spliced from 3 exons.
CUUCACUUUCACAUCACAUUCAGUCAUUCACACGAUUAUUGAUACAGACAGUGAAUGAAACGAAUGCAGUGGUUAUACUGAUUAUACUUAAAGUGACGAUACUACUUAUAGAUCUACCAGUUGAUAAACAUCAGCAUCAUAGAUAAUAAUCUACAUAGAAUCUAUAAUCAUAGUGCCCUUUAUUUAGUCAAUAUAGUCAAGUCAAGGUAGUGGAACGUAAACUCGAAGGUUUAAUACAAUAUGUUAUUAACAAGUAGAACCAUGGCAACCAGUUCUGAUGAUGUACCAGAAUGGCUCAAGGAUCAUACUUAUACUAUUUCUACUCUCUGGGCAUCCAUUCAAUAUUUAAUGUAAGUACUACUAUACAAUUUUUAUUUUAGUUAUCUAAUAAAUGUUUUAUGAAUUGUGUGAUUUUCAUGGUCAAGCAACAUCCAAAUAUCUGGGAUGGAAUUUAACAUUUUUCUCUAAGUUUUUUUUUUUUUUAUUUAUAACACUCUUAAGCACAUUCAUCUUUCAUGAAUGCCUAAUAUACCUUGGCUGUUGUGCAGGCCAUUCCUUUACAAUAAACUGUUAGAUGAAAUUAGGCAAAAUUGUCUGAUAAUUUGUAUGUUUGAUACAACGUUUUCAAUUUAAUAAUAUUAUUUUUUAAUUGUAAUGUUUUCAAAAGAAAUUAACCAAUAUGCCUAAUUGUAUAAUUACAGUUAUGUUUGGAAAUGAAAGAAAAAGGCAUGCAUUCCUGAAAAGUCAAUGAUUGGUUGCACCUCUUAAAGAUAACUUUCUGUUAUGAGAAAAGAUGAGAUUCUUGGACUCCUGCAUAGCACCACCAGAAAGGAAAAUCCCAUCAUGUUGCAAAAUAAAAGUCUUGGACCAAUUUUAAUUUAAGAUAUAUAUAUUAUACUGUAAGCUGUAUACAUAUUUAUGUAUAUCUUGUCAUUCAGCCAACAGGUUUGGAUUUAGUAUUUCUUUAAAUCUGUUUGAUAUUGUACUUGAAAACUAUUAAUCUGAGCCCCAUUAAAACAAGAGGGAGUGCAAUGGAUGAGUGGUAAGGGAAAUUUUACUUUUUUUAAAUUAAAAUAAGAAUCUAACAAAAGUAAACAUAUAAAAUAUGGUGCAUUCUCCUUAAAACUAAAACCUGUUGCAAAGGUUUAAAAUGUUGGCAAAAAAAAAAGCAACAUCAAUUAAAUAUUCUUAAUUCCCUUUGCAAAACUUACUGAGAAGAACAUGCAUGUUGUUCCCCUAUAAGUUUCUUGACAGAGGAAAUCUUGUUUAUAUUAGAUUUGAAUUAAGCAAAUUAAGAAAAAAAUUAUAAUCAUUAUUUCAAAUGGUUGUAUCUAAACCUUAUGAAUUAUUUUUCAGUUAUAAGUAUAUUGAAAUGAAUGGAUAAUCAUGAAAUUGUUAAAUAAUUGCUGCUAUCAUUCCAUUGACUAAAGAACCAUAAUUUUUUUUUUUCAAUUAAUUUCAAAAUUAAUUAAUUAAUUAAUUUUCAAGCAGAGUUCACAUAGAUCUUGAGUGAAAAUUUUCUUUUUUUGACUAAUGCUUCAAUUUUAUUGUAUCAUUAGUUUUUUUAUUUUUAUUACCCAGAAUAUUUUAAAAAUGAGUACACUAUUUUCAUGUAAUAAUGUAACUUGGUAUUCACACAUCAAAAUACGCUAUAAUCUUUAGGCCAUAUAGAUUUGUAUAAAUAUAAAUUAACUUGCUUAAUUACAUUGUAAAUGUAUAUUGUUUGGAUAAGAAUAAAGUUUUUCUGUAGACAAUUAUUGUUCAAGAUUUGUUGAUGCUCCUGCUUAAUAAAUUAUAUACACAGGUCAUUAGUUUUAACACACUACUGACACAAGAAAAACUGGUCGCCCCCACUUCCAUUACAUAGAUGUAAUAAAACGUGACCUCAAAUCAGUGAACAUCAAUACUGACAAUUGGGAAGACAUAGCUUUAGACCGCAACAGAUGGAGAGACAGUGACCAAGAAAGCUAUGGACAGUGAAAGUACAUAGGUCUCAGCUCAGGAAGAAAAACGUA